Molecule: ribosomal RNA, 344 nt
Filed under: uncultured Allobrachymonas sp.
Lineage: Bacteria; Pseudomonadati; Pseudomonadota; Betaproteobacteria; Burkholderiales; Comamonadaceae
Description: bacterial SSU rRNA
Rfam family: Bacterial small subunit ribosomal RNA
Source: RNAcentral
GACACAGGUGCUGCAUGGCUGUCGUCAGCUCGUGUCGUGAGAUGUUGGGUUAAGUCCCGCAACGAGCGCAACCCUUGCAUUAGUUGCUACGAAAGGGCACUCUAAUGGGACUGCCGGUGACAAACCGGAGGAAGGUGGGGAUGACGUCAAGUCCUCAUGGCCCUUAUAGGUGGGGCUACACACGUCAUACAAUGGCCGGUACAGAGGGUAGCCAACCCGCGAGGGGGAGCCAAUCCCACAAAGCCGGUCGUAGUCCGGAUCGCAGUCUGCAACUCGACUGCGUGAAGUCGGAAUCGCUAGUAAUCGCGGAUCAGCAUGUCGCGGUGAAUACGUUCCCGGGUCUU